This 316-nucleotide long non-coding RNA is filed under the name Physcomitrium patens. RNAcentral's name for it is "long non-coding RNA (PPAT_LNC012253)". Lineage: Eukaryota; Viridiplantae; Streptophyta; Bryopsida; Funariales; Funariaceae. The record is from RNAcentral.
AAAAAUCUCAAAAAAAAAAAAAACAAAACAAAACAAAACAAAACUGCACCUGAUCAGGUGGCGCAACUAUUUCAUGAUUUAAUAAGGGAUUCAAUAAUAAUUUGUGCCCAAAAAAUGCGAAAAAAUCAACAAAAGUUACCACUGCCGCAGCAUGAGAAUGUCUAGCAUAGUCUACCAUGCUCCACACUGAAAACCGAGACCAGAAAUGUUAGUGCAGAUCGUCACAAUCGGAGGCUAUAUUCUAGUUUAUCAAUCAGGUAGAGGAGUGCCACGCUCCAGAUUGUUUUUUUUUAUUUUCACAGCGUAAUUCCGGAAA